UGAGGAAUAUUGGACAAUGGGUUAGCGCCUGAUCCAGCCAUCCCGCGUGAAGGACGACGGCCCUAUGGGUUGUAAACUUCUUUUGUAUAGGGAUAAACCUUUCCACGUGUGGAAAGCUGAAGGUACUAUACGAAUAAGCACCGGCUAACUCCGUGCCAGCAGCCGCGGUAAUACGGAGGGUGCAAGCGUUAUCCGGAUUUAUUGGGUUUAAAGGGUCCGUAGGCGGAUCUGUAAGUCAGUGGUGAAAUCUCAUAGCUUAACUAUGAAACUGCCAUUGAUACUGCAGGUCUUGAGUAAGGUAGAAGUAGCUGGAAUAAGUAGUGUAGCGGUGAAAUGCAUAGAUAUUACUUAGAACACCAAUUGCGAAGGCAGGUUACUAUGUCUUAACUGACGCUGAUGGACGAAAGCGUGGGGAGCGAACA
This 422-nucleotide ribosomal RNA is filed under the name uncultured Chryseobacterium sp. Its description in RNAcentral is "bacterial SSU rRNA". It matches the Rfam family "Bacterial small subunit ribosomal RNA", at positions 355 to 774 of the family's 1533-position model. The record is from RNAcentral. Lineage: Bacteria; Pseudomonadati; Bacteroidota; Flavobacteriia; Flavobacteriales; Weeksellaceae.